This 2930-nucleotide long non-coding RNA is filed under the name Capsicum annuum. Its description in RNAcentral is "long non-coding RNA (CANN_LNC001377)". Lineage: Eukaryota; Viridiplantae; Streptophyta; Magnoliopsida; Solanales; Solanaceae. The record is from RNAcentral.
CAACGUACAAAAAGGGCAAAUAAUUUAAGACUGACGAAUACUUUUCUUUUACUUGUUCAAAUCAACUUUCUUAUACCUGUUUCCAAAACGUGGCAUGUUCUUCCAGCUGUUUCUUUUUCACCUUGGACCCCACACGCUUUCUGACCUUUCUAUAUAAACCUUUGCCCCUACCUCCUCCUUUUCUCAUCUCAGCUCUAUCAGCUAUUUCUCUCUCAUUCACUAUAUUUUCGGCUCCCUCCACAAUCGACUACACAUUUUCUGAUAUUUUUGAGCUAUGGCAUUGAACAAUAUGACUUUGUUUUUCGCCGUUAUGGCAAUUCUUUCAAUGGUUGCUUCAGCUCAGGAAGCAACAUUGGCUCCGGCACCAUCUCCCGACCAAGGUGGCGCGUUUUCUCUACCGGCAUCUGCUGCAAUUAUUUGCUCCUCGUUAAUCUUGUCCGUUGCAGCUCUUCUCAGGAACUAGAUCCAUGGCUCAUUGAUGAUUAUUUAUUGAUCUGCUUUAUCGCUGGUAUUUAUGUAGAUACAGAGGGUAGAUAAAUGCAUUUUUUUAUUUUCAUGUUUGAGUGAGUUUUUUUUUUUUUUCUUCUUUCAUAGACGGGAUUAUUGUUUAUUAUACUUGUUUUUGUAUAAUUAAUACUGGUUUGAAUAUAUAAUAAAGAGAGUUUUAUCUUUUUGUAUUUACAUUCACAGUGUUUCUUAAUAUAGGGGUAUUAGGUACAUAUUUUGGGUUGCGAAGACUUUAUGGACAAAGACACAACCAAAUCGAAAAAAAAAAAAAAAGAGUUUAUAAAUUUAGAAGUUGACAUAAUCAAUGUUAUUUGAUAAAUGAAAAUCAAACUAAAUCGAUCGGCCUAUGUAGAGAUUAUGGAUAAUCAAAAUUUUGUAAAUACAGAUUUGGUAAUCCAAAAAAUUCUCAAUUACCAAAAAGAAACGAAGUCAAGACAAACUACUACACAAACAUUAUUUAUUUAACGGAGAGAGAUAUUUCACAAAAUAGUAAGUAAAAAGAAACCACCUAAUUAAUGUCUUCUUGAUACAGAAAUUCAAAAGUACGAUCCACGAUUCAUGAUUGUCAUUUUUCCUGGUUUGAUUUCUAAUAUUUUUUUUUACCCACAAAAAAUGACAGUGACUAAAACCUAAUAUAAUGUUUAGUAAAUUGAUUGCUAGACACGAUAAUUUACAAAGGUGUACAUUUAUCAUGCGCUGAUGAUAGAGUGCUGAGUCAAAUUCAUUUUGAAAAACGGAAAGGAAGAAGAAAAGUAGAGAGGUCAUGUAAACUUUUAGGAGCUUUAAAAUUAAUCAUUAUAAUCUAAUCUCAAUUCAGUUAAUAACUAUUUGACUAUCCAAAUUUGAUCGGUAUUUCCUCCUCUUCAUUCAAGAGUCAAGACUGGUCCUUUUGCUCCAAUAGAUCAAAAUAACAAAUUAAUUACUUGCUACUUGGAGCGUUUAAGUAAAGCUCAUACGAAGUUUCAAACUAUAAUUAUGACACUCGAACGUGAGGACAAGGAACACCCAACAGAUAGAUGAGCUCAGAGGGGGGAGGGAGGCAAGAACCACACUUUCAUAUACUCUCUCCCUUUAAAACAAAUGAUCCAUUUCUUUUUUUUAACAAUUUUUUAAUUUUAACUUUCACACGAUAUAUUUAAGACCAUAAAAUUGAAGGAUAUUUUGGUACAUUUAACAUAUCUUUAAUUUAAAAUCACAAGAUUCGAAAGUCUCAUUUAUUUUUAUAAAUUCCAUGCCAAGUCAAAUUAGGUCAAUUCUUUUUUAAACGGAGGGAGUACCUCCGAAUCUUGUCUAAACUGUGAAUAGCUAAAAGAUUAACGACUUAGCUGAUGAGUUUCUCAAGGGGAGUGUCAGGUUAAUAAAGAUCAAUACUUUCUUUGUUUCGUUUUAAUUGAUCUUUAUUGACCUAACACUCUCCUAGUUUCUCCGUUUCAUUUUAGUUGAUCUUUAUACACCUGACACUCUCCUUAAGAAAACAUUUAAUACAAGUUUAUUUUACUAAAGUAAUCCUAUUAAUUAUGCAUUGAAAAUAUAAAUUUGAUAAAAUACACUUUACAUAGUUAUUAAUGAUAGGAUAAUAUUGGAACUAACAUGAUAAAUUUCUCUUGAUUUUAGAGCUUGAACAACUAAAAUAAAACAAAUAUUUUUAACAAAAGAGCCAACUAAUAUGAAAGAGAGGGAGUAUAAUGCUAGAACAUCAAGGACUUUCAGUUAUCAAUAAUAGAAAAUCUUACGGAGAUGUUCAUUGUUAAUCAUUUAAUUACCUCCCUAGUCCUGAUUUGCAAUUUUUAUGGGUGUUUGCUACAGGCCAUUUCCCAUUGCAACUUUCAUUCCUUACAUGUUAGCUAGUAAGUAAUUCAGCCAUAUUGUUAGUAUAACAUGACCACUUAUGCUGGGGAUUACCAAUUUAGUCGAAUUCCACAACACUAGAGUAUGCAUUAUGUAUGUAAAUCCAAUGGAAGCCGCCAAAGGAAUUUCCCUGCUCCUUUAUUAUUAUAAUAUUAUAUUAUCCUUUACACAAUUGCAUUAGACUUGGUAAUAUACACAAUCCAUACACAUUUUCUCUUUCUUUCUUUCUUUCUUUCUUUUUUUUUUUUAAAAAAAAAAAAAUUAUUUUGCGGAUAGGUUUUGUUUUAUGGUUCAAUACUUGUAUCCGCAGUUAUCCAAGCAAAUCCCUUGUCUGAAAUGCCAUGCCUGCACCUCAACUCCCAACGCACAAUUCAGCAGCACUGAAACAGCAACAAGGCAAUUAUAAUCAACACAAAAGAAACAUGAAGACUUAUAGUACAUAAAAUACAGCAAAAGAAACAUGAAAAUUAUAAGGUGAGAAGGGAUUUUCUAUGGAAAGGACACAAAGAAAGCGACUCUACAGAACUACAAUUAGUGAAGUGGAACAAAGUUUCUUUGGGGAAGAAACAAGGGGG